GAUGAAGAACGUAGCGAAAUGCGAAAAGUAGUGUGAAUUGCAGAAUUCAGUGAAUCAUCGAAUCUUUGAACGCACAUUGCGCCCCUUGGUAUUCCAUGGGGCAUGCCUGUUCGAGCGUCAUUGCUGCCCUCAAGCACGGCUUGUGUGUUGGGCCUCCGUCCUCCUCCCGGGGGACGGGCCCGAAAGGCAGCGGCGGCACCGCGUCCGGUCCUCGAGCGUAUGGGGCUUCGUCACCCGCUCUUGUAGGCCCGGCCGGCGCUUGCCGACACAUCAAUCUUUUUUCCAGGUUGACCUCGGAUCAGGUAGGGAUACCCGCUGAACUUAAGCAUAUCAAUAAGCGGAGGA
RNAcentral lists this unclassified non-coding RNA (345 nucleotides) under soil metagenome. Its description in RNAcentral is "partial contains 5.8S ribosomal RNA, internal transcribed spacer 2, and large subunit ribosomal RNA". The stretch from base 1 to 120 matches the Rfam family "5.8S ribosomal RNA", at positions 35 to 154 of the family's 154-position model. The record is from RNAcentral.